Molecule: ribosomal RNA, 253 nt
Filed under: uncultured bacterium
Lineage: Bacteria
Description: partial 16S ribosomal RNA
Rfam family: Bacterial small subunit ribosomal RNA
Source: RNAcentral
UACAGAGUGGGCAAGCGUUGUUCGGAAUUACUGGGCGUAAAGGGCGCGUAGGCGGUCUUGCAAGUCCCGUGUGAAAUCCCUCGGCUCAACUGAGGAACUGCACGGGAAACUGCUUGGCUUGAGUUCGGGAGAGGGAAGCGGAAUUCCGGGUGUAGCGGUGAAAUGCGUAGAUAUCCGGAGGAACACCGGUGGCGAAGGCGGCUUCCUGGACCGACACUGACGCUGAGGCGCGAAAGCUAGGGGAGCAAACGGG